UUAACUAAAACCAAAAAAGAGGUAAAUUAUUGUUAAUAAUUUUAUUGAAUUCCUAUCUAUAAAUUCUAGUUGAA
This 74-nucleotide transfer RNA is filed under the name Stenamma impar. Its description in RNAcentral is "tRNA-Asn". The record is from RNAcentral. Lineage: Eukaryota; Metazoa; Arthropoda; Insecta; Hymenoptera; Formicidae.